GACGAACGCUGGCGGCGUGCUUAACACAUGCAAGUCGAACGGAAAGGCCCUGCUUUUGUGGGGGGCUCGAGUGGCGAACGGGUGAGUAACACGUGAGUAACCUGCCCUUGACUUUGGGAUAACUUCAGGAAACUGGGGCUAAUACCGGAUAGGAGCUCCUGCUGCAUGGUGGGGGUUGGAAAGGUUCGGCGGUUGGGGAUGGACUCGCGGCUUAUCAGCUUGUUGGUGGGGUAGUGGCUUACCAAGGCUUUGACGGGUAGCCGGCCUGAGAGGGUGACCGGCCACAUUGGGACUGAGAUACGGCCCAGACUCCUACGGGAGGCAGCAGUGGGGAAUAUUGCACAAUGGGCGGAAGCCUGAUGCAGCAACGCCGCGUGCGGGAUGACGGCCUUCGGGUUGUAAACCGCUUUCGCCUGUGACGAAGCGUGAGUGACGGUAAUGGGUAAAGAAGCACCGGCUAACUACGUG
This 468-nucleotide ribosomal RNA is filed under the name uncultured bacterium. Its description in RNAcentral is "partial 16S ribosomal RNA". It matches the Rfam family "Bacterial small subunit ribosomal RNA", at positions 28 to 507 of the family's 1533-position model. The record is from RNAcentral.